CGCCGGCCCUGCCCCUCCUCGCCCCUCAGGGCCCCGGCCGGAGCCGGCCGGCACGCACCGCCCUGCGGAGCCCUGGAGGGACGGCGGACGAGGGUCCAGCACCAUAGCGAGACGACAAACGUGUCUUCAAGCAGACAUUUCAUUGGACUGACGCUGAGGCAAAAGGACGCCCCUUACUAGCAAAAAUACUACUUUCAUGAGAAGAGGGAGGGAGCCAGGAUCACCAGAGAGAAAUUGAUCAGAGUUAAAG
This 250-nucleotide long non-coding RNA is filed under the name Serinus canaria (Common canary). RNAcentral's name for it is "lncRNA (ENSSCAG00000005797.1)". Lineage: Eukaryota; Metazoa; Chordata; Aves; Passeriformes; Fringillidae. The record is from RNAcentral.